This 74-nucleotide transfer RNA is filed under the name Agrilus planipennis (emerald ash borer). It matches the Rfam family "tRNA". Rfam says of the family: Transfer RNA (tRNA) molecules are approximately 80 nucleotides in length. The record is from Rfam by way of RNAcentral. Lineage: Eukaryota; Metazoa; Arthropoda; Insecta; Coleoptera; Buprestidae.
AUCUCGUAGCUUAGUGGUCAAAGCUUUGGUGCGUAAAGCCAAAGGUGUCCCGCGUUCGAUUCCCGGCGGGGAUG